GCUGGCGCGAGCCAACCCAGCGAACUGAAACAUCUUAGUAGCUGGAGGAAAGGAAAGUAAAAACGACUCCCUAAGUAGCGGCGAGCGAACGGGGAAGAGCCUAAACCGAUGGUUUCGACCAUCGGGGUUGUGGGACAGCAACGUGUAUCAGGAAUGUUAGGAGAAGUGUUUGAAUGGCACGCCACAGAGGGUGAAAGCCCCGUAUCUGAAAACUGAACUGAGCUAGCUGUAUCCCGAGUAGCACGGAGCACGUGAAAUUCCGUGUGAAUCCGCGAGGACCACCUCGUAAGGCUAAGUACUACUGUGUGACCGAUAGCGAAACAGUACCGCGAGGGAAAGGUGAAAAGAACCCCGGGAGGGGAGUGAAAUAGAACAUGAAACCGUGAGCCUACAAGCAAUGGGAGCCCUACUAAUAGGGUGACCGUGUGCCUGUUGAAGAAUGAGCCGGCGACUUAUAGGCACUGGCGGGUUAAACUGGAAAUGGUGGAGCCAUAGCGAAAGCGAGUCUGAAUAGGGCGUUUGUCAGUGUUUAUAGACCCGAACCCGGGUGAUCUAACCAUGGCCAGGAUGAAGCUUGGGCGAUACCAAGUGGAGGUCCGAACCGACUGGCGUUGAAAAGCCAGCGGAUGAGCUGUGGUUAGGGGUGAAAUGCCAAUCGAACCCGGAGCUAGCUGGUUCUCCCCGAAAUACGUUGAGGCGUAGCGUCUCGUGCUCCAGCAGGGGGGUAAAGCCACCAUUUCGGUGCGGGCUGCGAGAGCGGUACCAAAUCGAGAUGAACUCUGAAUACCCUGUGUGUAGCGAGGCAGU
RNAcentral lists this ribosomal RNA (807 nucleotides) under uncultured bacterium. RNAcentral describes it as "bacterial LSU rRNA". It matches the Rfam family "Bacterial large subunit ribosomal RNA", at positions 169 to 984 of the family's 2925-position model. The record is from RNAcentral.